UAACAUGGGUAACCUACCCUCAGGUGGGGAAUAACUUCCCGAAAGGGAUGCUAAUGCCGACGAUACCCACCGGCCUCAUAAGAGGCUGUUGGAAAGCCGAACCGAGGGUUCGGCGCCUAAGGAUGGGCUCAUGUCCUAUCAGCUUGUUGGCGGGGUAAUGGCCCACCAAGGCUGCGACGGGUAGCUGGUCUGAGAGGACGACCAGCCACACUGGCACUGCGACACGGGCCAG
RNAcentral lists this ribosomal RNA (232 nucleotides) under uncultured bacterium. RNAcentral describes it as "partial 16S ribosomal RNA". It matches the Rfam family "Bacterial small subunit ribosomal RNA", at positions 113 to 334 of the family's 1533-position model. The record is from RNAcentral.